GACGAACGCUGGCGGCGUGCUUAACACAUGCAAGUCAAACGGAAAGGCCCUGCUUUUGUGGGGUGCUCGAGUGGCGAACGGGUGAGUAACACGUGAGUAACCUGCCCUUGACUUUGGGAUAACUUCAGGAAACUGGGGCUAAUACCGGAUAGGAGCUCCUGCUGCAUGGUGGGGGUUGGAAAGUUUCGGCGGUUGGGGAUGGACUCGCGGCUUAUCAGCUUGUCGGUGGGGUAGUGGCUUACCAAGGCUUUGACGGGUAGCCGGCCUGAGAGGGUGACCGGCCACAUUGGGACUGAGAUACGGCCCAGACUCCUACGGGAGGCAGCAGUGGGGAAUAUUGCACAAUGGGCGGAAGCCUGAUGCAGCAACGCCGCGUGCGGGAUGACGGCCUUCGGGUUGUAAACCGCUUUCGCCUGUGACGAAGCGUGAGUGACGGUAAUGGGUAAAGAAGCACCGGCUAACUACGUG
Molecule: ribosomal RNA, 468 nt
Filed under: uncultured bacterium
Lineage: Bacteria
Description: partial 16S ribosomal RNA
Rfam family: Bacterial small subunit ribosomal RNA
Source: RNAcentral